Molecule: ribosomal RNA, 164 nt
Filed under: Antiaris toxicaria (upas tree)
Lineage: Eukaryota; Viridiplantae; Streptophyta; Magnoliopsida; Rosales; Moraceae
Description: 5.8S ribosomal RNA
Rfam family: 5.8S ribosomal RNA
About the family: 5.8S ribosomal RNA (5.8S rRNA) is a component of the large subunit of the eukaryotic ribosome. It is transcribed by RNA polymerase I as part of the 45S precursor that also contains 18S and 28S rRNA.
Source: RNAcentral
AAAACGACUCUCGGCAACGGAUAUCUAGGCUCUCGCAUCGAUGAAGAACGUAGCGAAAUGCGAUACGUGGUGUGAAUUGCAGAAUCCCGUGAACCAUCGAGUCUUUGAACGCAAGUUGCGCCCAAAGCCGUCGGGCCGAGGGCACGUCUGCCUGGGCGUCACAC